UACGGAGGGUGCAAGCGUUAUCCGGAUUCACUGGGUUUAAAGGGUGCGUAGGUGGCUUUGUAAGUCAGUGGUGAAAGCCCGGAGCUCAACUCCGGAACUGCCAUUGAUACUGCUUAGCUUGAAUCACGUCGAGGUGGAUGGAAUAAUACAUGUAGCGGUGAAAUGCUUAGAUAUGUAUUAGAACACCGAUUGCGAAGGCAGUUCACUAGGCGUGUAUUGACACUGAGGCACGAAAGCGUGGGGAGCAAACAGG
RNAcentral lists this ribosomal RNA (253 nucleotides) under uncultured bacterium. Its description in RNAcentral is "partial 16S ribosomal RNA". It matches the Rfam family "Bacterial small subunit ribosomal RNA", at positions 524 to 776 of the family's 1533-position model. The record is from RNAcentral.